UACAGAGGGUGCAAGCGUUAAUCGGAGUUACUGGGCGUAAAGGGCGCGUAGGCGGUAAGAUGUGUGUGAUGUGAAAGCCCCGGGCUUAACCUGGGAAGUGCAUCGCAAACUAUCUGACUGGAGUAUAUGAGAGGGUGGCGGAAUUUCCGGUGUAGCGGUGAAAUGCGUAGAGAUCGGAAGGAACGUCGAUGGCGAAGGCAGCCACCUGGCAUAAUACUGACGCUGAAGCGCGAAAGCGUGGGGAGCGAACAGG
RNAcentral lists this ribosomal RNA (253 nucleotides) under uncultured bacterium. Its description in RNAcentral is "partial 16S ribosomal RNA". It matches the Rfam family "Bacterial small subunit ribosomal RNA", at positions 524 to 776 of the family's 1533-position model. The record is from RNAcentral.